This 882-nucleotide ribosomal RNA is filed under the name Escherichia coli. RNAcentral describes it as "partial 23S ribosomal RNA". It matches the Rfam family "Bacterial large subunit ribosomal RNA", at positions 612 to 1498 of the family's 2925-position model. The record is from RNAcentral. Lineage: Bacteria; Pseudomonadati; Pseudomonadota; Gammaproteobacteria; Enterobacterales; Enterobacteriaceae.
AUAAUGGGUCAGCGACUUAUAUUCUGUAGCAAGGUUAACCGAAUAGGGGAGCCGAAGGGAAACCGAGUCUUAACUGGGCGUUAAGUUGCAGGGUAUAGACCCGAAACCCGGUGAUCUAGCCAUGGGCAGGUUGAAGGUUGGGUAACACUAACUGGAGGACCGAACCGACUAAUGUUGAAAAAUUAGCGGAUGACUUGUGGCUGGGGGUGAAAGGCCAAUCAAACCGGGAGAUAGCUGGUUCUCCCCGAAAGCUAUUUAGGUAGCGCCUCGUGAAUUCAUCUCCGGGGGUAGAGCACUGUUUCGGCAAGGGGGUCAUCCCGACUUACCAACCCGAUGCAAACUGCGAAUACCGGAGAAUGUUAUCACGGGAGACACACGGCGGGUGCUAACGUCCGUCGUGAAGAGGGAAACAACCCAGACCGCCAGCUAAGGUCCCAAAGUCAUGGUUAAGUGGGAAACGAUGUGGGAAGGCCCAGACAGCCAGGAUGUUGGCUUAGAAGCAGCCAUCAUUUAAAGAAAGCGUAAUAGCUCACUGGUCGAGUCGGCCUGCGCGGAAGAUGUAACGGGGCUAAACCAUGCACCGAAGCUGCGGCAGCGACGCUUAUGCGUUGUUGGGUAGGGGAGCGUUCUGUAAGCCUGCGAAGGUGUGCUGUGAGGCAUGCUGGAGGUAUCAGAAGUGCGAAUGCUGACAUAAGUAACGAUAAAGCGGGUGAAAAGCCCGCUCGCCGGAAGACCAAGGGUUCCUGUCCAACGUUAAUCGGGGCAGGGUGAGUCGACCCCUAAGGCGAGGCCGAAAGGCGUAGUCGAUGGGAAACAGGUUAAUAUUCCUGUACUUGGUGUUACUGCGAAGGGGGGACGGAGAAGGCUAUGUUGGCCGGGCGA